GCCACAUAUGGUUAUUACUACAGUAAGAUAUAAGGAAUUAAUAUUUUGAGGCAUUUUCUUGAUGGAGAGAAACUUGUGAUUGAUCCUAAUUAAUGAUGUGUCUCUUUGCAGGGAGUUGAAAGUGAUUUUUACUUUUGUGUUUGCUGCUAAGUAUCUAGGUAGGAAAAACCUGACUGUAAUUGCUUGAUUAUGAGCAAUCAAUGUAUUGCUCUUUUUUGGUGGUUGUUUUCAGUGUUACUGAGUUGGUGGCUAAUUUGAUGCUUUCUCCACAGGCGAAGUGAUCAGAACCAAUUAAGCUGACAGUGGAAGAGCAAAACUCAGGCAACUGAUGCAAGAAAGUGACUAGUUUAUAGAUAUAUGUGGCCGUUUGUUUUAUGAUUUAUAAAGAAAAAUAUCGAACACAGAGCACAUGCUUAUUUACUCUCAUUUUUGCUGUGACUUGUAAAGUGGCCCAGGUUAAGCCACUUUACUUUUUUCUGUCCCAUCUGAAAAAAAAAAUAACAUAUUUCCUGUAUCCUCGUAAGACAAUCAAGUUGAUGUGAAUAUAACAGCUGCUUCUAGCAGUUUGCGAGCCCAAAGUAAAUGGUUGUGGGCUUUUUUUGGUUGUAACUGAUGCCCUGUCUUGUUUGACUUCGUUUUUCUUCGCAUUGCUCUCGGAUCUGUUUUAUGAUCAAAGGAAAACAUGACGGCUUGCUUCACUGACAGUCAUUUCCAGCUCAUCAGCAUUAUUGAUUUCAGAUUCACCGUGAAGAGAAAACUGUAAAACUGACACUGGGAAAGUGAUUCUCUGAACUUAGAGGCCAACUUGAACCAGGAAAGAUGGAACCCGUGGAAAGAUUUGGCUCACCGCGCUGAACAGGUGCAGCCAUCAAAGUGAGUGGGUGGCGCUUGUCCGAGUCCUGCGGAGUCAGCCAGUACUGUGUGACUCACCUUCGUGAUAUCAGUAAAGCUCCAAGCCUCUUGCCUGGGAAUUGACAAAGGAAACUCGAUUCUGAAUAUGCCACUAUUUGAAUCUUUAAAUGUAAUCCACUUACCAGUCAACUGGCAAACGUUCUCCAUAUUCUUCAGGUUGUUUCUAAUCUUUCUCCUAAUCACGUUUGCAGCCUGGCUGGAUUUUAUUGGGUUUAUGUGUGUUAGCUUUGAGAAGGAAUGGAAACACCUGCUUCUCUGAGAUGAUCAUUAUGUACCACCCCCCACCUCGUCCCCCACCACAGCUCGGGUAGAGCAGAAAGGUGAUCUCAUAGGGUUUUUCCACACAAUUAUUCUGAUUUUUAAAACACAAGUGUGUGAAAGCCCCAAUCAUUGCCUCUUAAAAUCCCCUUUGUGUUCAAAGAGGAAGCUUGGGGAAUAGUUUCAGCAAAGUAUCGGGAGUAUCAGAUAGCACUGAUUCACCCAGUUCUGGAAACAAACCUCAGUUUCUUCAAUCAUUGGUUCAAGAUGAGAAAACUCCAAAAAUGUGAAAACUUCCCUUUGCCGUGUACUAAUUUGGCAACAAACCAGAGAUCAGCCGUCCUCUGACAAAUGUGACACAUGAAUUUGACAAGUGUUCCGUCGUCUUCCACCCCGGUUCAUGCUGCGCCCUUCUGGCUACAUUGCUCCCUGGGUUCUCUAUUCAAGUCUUACUCAUCUUUGGAGGUCCCACUCUCUCCUGGUAACCUUCCCCAACUUACUGGCUUAGAGGGAGCUUUUCCUCCCCUGAAGUCUGGCACAUAUAUCAGAAUCUCUCAAUUGACAUUUAGUCAAUUUCCAGGGUAAAGAUUUUGCUGAAUUCUUACUCCCACACCUAUGGGGGUGCUGGUGCUUUGCCUACAGUGCUGAUGUGUAGUGUUGGCUGGGCAUCAGGAUUAUCUGUGCAGCUUUUAGGAAUUACACAUGUCCCAGUCUCACACCACACCUUCUGAAUCAGGCUCACUGCUUGGGUGAUUCUGAUUUACCCCUGGAGUGAGAGCUACCACUUUGCCAUUAUUGUAGGAAUUACAUGAGCUAAUAUG
Bubalus bubalis (water buffalo) is the source of this 1991-nucleotide long non-coding RNA. RefSeq lists it as uncharacterized. The transcript has 3 exons. The record is from RefSeq and is a predicted model, not a curated record. Lineage: Eukaryota; Metazoa; Chordata; Mammalia; Artiodactyla; Bovidae.